GACGAACGCUGGCGGCGUGCCUAAUACAUGCAAGUCGAACGCAGUGGGGACGGGUGAGUAACACGUGGGUAACCUCCCAUCAGAGGGGAUAACACUUGGAAACAGGUGCUAAACCGAUACUGAUGGAUGGACCCGCGGUGCAUUCGCUAGUUGGUGAGGUAACGGCGCACCACGGCCACGAUGCAUAGCCGACCGGAGAGGGUUAGCGGCCACACUGGGACUGAGAGACGGCCCAGCCUCCUACGGUGGGAAGCAGUAGGGAAUCUUCGGCAAUGGACGAAAGUCUGACCGAGCAACGCCGCGGGAGUGAAGAAGGUUUUCGGAUCGUAAAACUCUGUGGUUAGAGAAGCGGUAUCUAACCAGAAAGCCACGGCUAACUACGUGCCAGCAGCCGCGGUAAUUC
This 403-nucleotide ribosomal RNA is filed under the name uncultured bacterium. RNAcentral's name for it is "partial 16S ribosomal RNA". It matches the Rfam family "Bacterial small subunit ribosomal RNA", at positions 28 to 526 of the family's 1533-position model. The record is from RNAcentral.